This is a non-coding RNA of Paramarasmius palmivorus, 102 nucleotides long. NCBI's taxonomy places the organism in Eukaryota, Fungi, Basidiomycota, Agaricomycetes, Agaricales, Marasmiaceae. The record is from the annotation of a GenBank genome assembly.
GGGGGUAUAGCUCAGCUGGGAGAGCAGCAGACUGAAGUUGCAGUGCCUGAUCAUUAUCUCCAUCUAUUCUGAAGGUCCCGCGUUCGAUCCGCGGUACCCCCA